CGUAACUCGAUUUAUAAUUAAUUUAGUAACUGUUGCGCGAUUAGACAGAUUGCUGUAAAUAGUGAAAUUAAUUUUCAAAACAAGUUUUUAUGCUUCGAAUUAGUAAGAUAAGCUAAGUAAUGCCUCGUACUCGACUCCGGAAAUGGUCUCGGGUAAGGGGUGUUACAACAUUAAGGAUUGUAAACCUCUCAAAAAGAAGCAAGAUGCCACAACUUCCAAAGCCAAUAUGGUAGAGGACAUUGACUUAGUGACCAUGG
This 257-nucleotide long non-coding RNA is filed under the name Gossypium raimondii (Peruvian cotton). RNAcentral's name for it is "long non-coding RNA (GRAI_LNC000235)". Lineage: Eukaryota; Viridiplantae; Streptophyta; Magnoliopsida; Malvales; Malvaceae. The record is from RNAcentral.